Oryctolagus cuniculus (rabbit) is the source of this 536-nucleotide non-coding RNA. The record is from RefSeq and is a predicted model, not a curated record. Lineage: Eukaryota; Metazoa; Chordata; Mammalia; Lagomorpha; Leporidae.
AAAGAUGUUAAUGGAGUCAUCCAUUAAAUGCAGCAGCUGCCAGAGCCUUAGGCUAACUGGGCAGAGGGCCUGAACCCAUUUACUCAAAAACACAGCCCCCUCCACAUAAUCUCAGGUUUUUAUCUUUUCAUUUCCACGUUGUGCUUCAGCCAGGUCAUUCAGUGGCAACUCCCUGAGAAUCUCACGCUUGCUUAGAGUCUGCCUAUCUGCCAGCCACAAAGACAGCACAUGGAGAGACGGGAGGAGGCUGGUAGGCAGUGUCUAUCUGCAAGUACCUCCCAAAGGCCCAUCAGGUGCAGCUUUUUGCUCCAGGAAAAUCAGGCUGGGACUGUUCACAAGUCUCAGUCCUUGGGACAUAGGUGAAAACAACCUCCCAUCAUGGCUCAUACGUCAGCAAAGUUCUCUGCAGACAAGACAACAGUUACAGCAACAGGCAUAAUCAAUUUUUAUUCAUUGCCUGUCCCUUCUGGCCCCAGAGCUGGGUCCAGCAUCAUCCUGCACGAUGCCCAGGUGGGCACACAGACACACAGAGAAGG